AAAGCAAUGACUGUUAUGAAACAGUGGAAUCGAACAGCAUUUGACAGAAAUAUGUGAAACCUGUAUAUACCCAAUCAUUCAUAUGACAAUGUUGGGAAAUGUAUCGGUAUAUCCUAUUCUUUUUUAUGGAAUAACAAAACUGAGAUUGUCGACUCAACUCAACUGCACCGUUCCGUUCCAUAUCUGGAUUCAUUUGAACUAAAAAAUGACAAUUUGUUGCGGAAGGCGCAAUAUAUGUAAUCGAAUAUUUAAAAUUUUAAUAAUCUAAUAAUAAUAAUAAUAAUAAUAAUAUGAAAUUUUAAUAAUGAAUCAUGAAGAGCGCCAAUGCUGAAAUCUUUAAGUUCAAAUAAAUAAAAUAACCGUAAUCGUAUUUUGUAAAAGCACAAGCUAAUUUAAUAAACGUGAGCAUUGUUUCAAUGCCGUUUCUUCACA
This is a long non-coding RNA of Drosophila mojavensis, 432 nucleotides long. RefSeq lists it as uncharacterized. NCBI's taxonomy places the organism in Eukaryota, Metazoa, Arthropoda, Insecta, Diptera, Drosophilidae. The transcript is spliced from 2 exons. The record is from RefSeq and is a predicted model, not a curated record.